UACGUAGGGGGCGAGCGUUGUCCGGAUUUAUUGGGCGUAAAGAGCUCGUAGGCGGUUGCGGAAGUCGGAUGUGAAAUACCGGGGCUCAACUCCGGGGCGCCAUUCGAUACUCCGCUGACUCGAGUCCGGUAGGGGAAGGUGGAAUUCCUGGUGUAGCGGUGAAAUGCACAGAUAUCAGGAGGAACACCGGUGGCGAAGGCGGCCUUCUGGUCCAGUACUGACACUCAAGUGCGAAAGCGUGGGGAGCAAACAGG
This 254-nucleotide ribosomal RNA is filed under the name uncultured bacterium. Its description in RNAcentral is "partial 16S ribosomal RNA". It matches the Rfam family "Bacterial small subunit ribosomal RNA", at positions 524 to 776 of the family's 1533-position model. The record is from RNAcentral.